This 24-nucleotide non-coding RNA is filed under the name Mus musculus (house mouse). Lineage: Eukaryota; Metazoa; Chordata; Mammalia; Rodentia; Muridae. RNAcentral also lists the same sequence under 1 other name. The record is from RNAcentral.
ACCACAAAGAGAUUCUUCAGUUGC